UGCUGAUGUAGCCUAGCUCUUGGCUGGAUGUCCUCUAAGGCUCAACCUGUGCAAAUUCCCAGCUGGUAAUCUCUGAGAGCAGUGGUCCCCAACUUUCACCAACCUAGGGGAAACAAUACCAAGAAAGUAUGGAAUGCAAUCCAGGCAAGGUCACGCUUUGCUUUCAACGUCAAUCUUCCAAAUAAUAAGAAGACUCAGAGGAGCACAGCUUGUCCUUUUACUGAGACUAGUUUCCAGAUGUCAAAAUGUUUCAACAAACUAUAACACAUGAUGGGGACAGCACAUCCAGUGCUACAGUGAUGGAGCUGAGAAGGUCAUAUAUACUUAGACUGCCAGAGGAACAUAUUCCCAAAGAUCAGGGUUAAUAGCUCUCAGAAGCUCUUGACCCCAGGACAAAUUGUUUGUAUAUAUUCUGAAAAGAGAUUUCCCUUGCCCUCUUCCUGUUUUCUAAUGUUAUUUACCUCUUAAUUUACAAAAGCCACAGCCUAGUUUUAUAAUUGUGAUGGUGUGAAAAACAAGAAGAGGAGGAAAUAUGAACAAGACAUAGUAUGAUGGUAAGAAAGAAGGAAGCCAAUGAAAAUCAUUGUGACAGGGCUUGUGACCACAGGAGCGGAUGUGAUGCCUGUAACAGGGUCCUGACUGAAACCCUGUUACCUGAGAGAUUUUGGCAGCUGAAAGUGAUUACUGCCCGGUGGGGGAGGAGGCGCCCCAUGCCCACUGAGAGCCAAUGGGACUCGGCACUGAGGGAUAUGAGGAGGAAGAGGUCUGAGGAAGGGGCCUUCAGGCACCACGAGAGGAAGAGGUGCCACUAAGGACUCUCGCUAAGGAGGAUCCAGAGGGAGGAUUCCAGGCGCAAGGGUCAAUGUGGGCCAAGUGACGACAGAACCCAGGACCUGUAGCCCAUCCGUGCCACAUACCUGGAGCUCGAAGCAGCGGCGGUGAGUCAGAGCAGAACAGAGCCGCAGCACAGGGAAAAGUCGUGGCUUCAUGCUGAGACACAGAGAAGCAAUGCGGGAGUCAAAGGGGGGUGGAGGCCACCCGCCCAGCCCCUGAAGAAGCCAGGACCCAGCACCCGAACUUGAAGAAAAAGGGGAGUUGGGAUAGAAGGUGGAUAAACGCCCAGAUCCGCACCCUGGCAUGGAGCGUGAGAGGAGAAAUCAGGCGUCGCCCGUAAUUAG
This is a long non-coding RNA of Alligator sinensis (Chinese alligator), 1178 nucleotides long. RefSeq lists it as uncharacterized. Lineage: Eukaryota; Metazoa; Chordata; Crocodylia; Alligatoridae. The record is from RefSeq and is a predicted model, not a curated record. The transcript has 3 exons.